UUUUUAUUUUUUUUUGUGGUUAACACUUGCGCCCAACCAAGAGAUAACCUCAUGACAAAGGAAAGAAUACCAUGGCAAGGACUUCUUAAAGUAAUUUACUGCUUAGCAUCUUCUGUUCAUGUCAUUACAAUCUUUAUCUUGCAUACACAUGGCUUCCUCCUUGAAUUCAGGCUUACGGUGCACUUAUGAUGUAUUCUUGAGCUUCAGAGGGAAAGACGCAAGGAAACCCUUCACUGGACAUCUCUACAAAGCUUUGUGUCGGCAUGUAAUCAAAACUUUUCUGGACGAGGAAAAGAUAGAAUUUGGUGAGGAACUUGAACUGGCUUCCAUAAAAGGAAUCCAAGAGUCCAGAUUUUCCAUAAUCAUUCUCUCAAACAACUUUGCCUCGUCCACUUACUGUCUGAAGAGCUUGUCCAAAUCAUACAAUGUAAAAAACUAGGGGAUAUUUUUGUCAUGUAUUAUGGUGUAGAUCCAUCUCAUGUUGAAGAGAUGAAAGAAAGGCUUGAAAUGCUUUUCAAGAAGGAUGUCACCAAGUGGAGGGAUGCUCCUCAAAAAGUUCUUGACUUGCAGGCCCUUGAUCUGCAAAAACAUUUACAAGGGUAAAGUUGCCAAUCAUUAACAUCUCUGAUCUAGCUUGCCAUGGUUCUGUUUAUUUACUUUUUUUAUUAGUUUUUUUUUUUCUAAAUUAUUGUGUGUUUUUGUGGUGUUUUCUUUUUCCAUAAUAGCUUAGGGACAAAUAAUUAUAAAGGUUGAGAAUUGUUAAAGCCUGAGAUUUUUCCACUAAGCUGCAGCAGAGCCAUGUUUUAAGUAUUUUGUUUUCUUUAUCAUGUUAUGGUUUCAAUGUUAGCAUUUCCUAAGGGAACAUUUUGCCUUGUAGUUAGCGAGGAAUCUGUGCCGUUUGAGGAAAUAUUCUAGUUAAGCCCAUAACUAGUAGGUUAAAGAAUGCUUUUUAGUUUCUGUAAGUUAGCUAAGCUUUUGUAUAAAUUCUGCUUUCAAAUAUCAAUGACAGUAUGAGAAAGUUUUCUUUUCUAAGCUUCAUUUUUCAUCUUUAUUGAAAUGCUAGCUUAGUUUUUUCCUACAAAAAUAUCAGCAGCUUCUGUUUGUUUGUUGAUUUUUAAUCUUUAUUAGGAAUUGCAAUCAGUAUUUCUGUAAAAAUUUUAACUUGCUGGGAUUAGGCAAAAACAUUGCUUAUAUUUUCAAGAAGAUUUCAGAUAGACUUUCAAAUGCUCGUUCUGAAAAAGUCAAGGAUACUGCAGAUUUGUUCAGGAAUAUUACGUCUUUCUUGUCAAAAAUUAAAGGAGAAUUGAAGUCGUCAACAGCCGAAAGUAAUCGAAGUGGGCCCGUCUUUUGGAAACAAAUUGGUGAAAGCAAAAAGUGUGUUUGGUAAGAAGUAUGGAAAGCAAAGAGAAACUGUCUGGGCUAGGUACAAAAUAGAAAGAAAAUAUAUGGUAAACAAGCAUUAUUGGAUUUAAGUAUUUUUCCAUUUUAUUUUAUUCUUGAGUUCUUGUACUUUUCCUAUUCUAUUAAAAAUUUAUUUAACACCAAAUAUAAAAUUGAAUGAAAU
Molecule: unclassified non-coding RNA, 1564 nt
Filed under: Hevea brasiliensis (rubber tree)
Lineage: Eukaryota; Viridiplantae; Streptophyta; Magnoliopsida; Malpighiales; Euphorbiaceae
Source: RNAcentral